RNAcentral lists this transfer RNA (87 nucleotides) under Ignavibacteria bacterium. RNAcentral describes it as "tRNA-Tyr". It matches the Rfam family "tRNA". Rfam says of the family: Transfer RNA (tRNA) molecules are approximately 80 nucleotides in length. Their secondary structure includes four short double-helical elements and three loops (D, anti-codon, and T loops). Further hydrogen bonds mediate the characteristic L-shaped molecular structure. tRNAs have two regions of fundamental functional importance: the anti-codon, which is responsible for specific mRNA codon recognition, and the 3' end, to which the tRNAs corresponding amino acid is attached (by aminoacyl-tRNA synthetases). tRNAs cope with the degeneracy of the genetic code in two manners: having more than one tRNA (with a specific anti-codon) for a particular amino acid; and 'wobble' base-pairing, i.e. permitting non-standard base-pairing at the 3rd anti-codon position. The record is from RNAcentral. Lineage: Bacteria; Pseudomonadati; Ignavibacteriota; Ignavibacteria.
GGGUCGGUACCGAAGCGGUCAAACGGGGCAGACUGUAAAUCUGCUGGGCUCCGCCCUACGGAGGUUCAAAUCCUUCCCGGCCCACCA